Melospiza melodia melodia is the source of this 519-nucleotide long non-coding RNA. RefSeq lists it as uncharacterized. The transcript has 4 exons. NCBI's taxonomy places the organism in Eukaryota, Metazoa, Chordata, Aves, Passeriformes, Passerellidae. The record is from RefSeq and is a predicted model, not a curated record.
UGUCCUUGUGCAUUUCUGAUGAAGAAUUGGGAAUGAAGAAAGAAAACUUGAGCAUAAUUGUGUGGGUUGUUUUGUUUUUUCUUUGGAGCUCUGACUGCUGCAUGUGCCCUCCACAUGGACCAGUGUGAAAGCUAAAAGCAUCUGCAAAACAGAAGACCAUGGGUUUUGUGAAGCUGUUCUUGGCUAUAAAAUUUGGGUUGCAGAAUCCCUUUUAUUCCUGAUGCAGAAGAUGGAAAGAGCCCAAUUUAAUGUUAACAUCCCAAGCAGAGUUUGCAAGGCUGGAGAAUAAAAUGGGAGUCAACAUCUGAAACAAUGUGGGUAUUCCAGAUUGUUUGUCUGUCUUCAACUGCUCCACACAGAUGUUGAUGUGCUGCUACUUGAGUUCCUUGGCAGAAUCAUCAGAGGUUCAGCCUGUAGAUCUGACAUUAUCAACUAUAAAAUUUGAUCUUCUGCAACAAAUACAACCUUACUGUGAUUCCUGUGAAGGCACUGAAGAUGACCCAGGGUACUUAAACAAGU